UGUAAGCGUAUACCAAAGUUGUUGCAGUUAAAACGCUCGUAGUCGGAAUUUGGCAGUUCCGGAUGUGUGCACGUCGUGUGCGCACUUCGCGGGGAUUGCUUUUGUGGUCUUGCGUAGGGUGAGGCACUUUUAUUAGUGAACGUCCUCACGCAACCACUUUUUACUGUGAGAAAAUCAGAGUGCUCAAAGCAGGCAUUUGCCGUGAAUGUAUUAGCAUGGAAUAAUAGAAUAGGACUUGGUUCUAUUUUGUUGGUUUGUUGGGACUGAGUAAUGAUUAAGAGGGACAGUUGGGGGCAUUUGUAUUUCGGUGCUAGAGGUGAAAUUCUUAGAUUACCGAAAGACAAACUGCUGCGAAAGCGUCUGCCAAGGAUGUUUUCAUUGA
RNAcentral lists this ribosomal RNA (382 nucleotides) under uncultured eukaryote. RNAcentral describes it as "partial 18S ribosomal RNA". It matches the Rfam family "Eukaryotic small subunit ribosomal RNA", at positions 592 to 976 of the family's 1831-position model. The record is from RNAcentral.